UACAUGGCGUACUGCUCAGUAACACGUGGAUAACCUGCCCUUGGGUCCGGCAUAACCCCGGGAAACUGGGGAUAAUUCCGGAUAACGCACAUAUGCUGGAAUGCUUUAUGCGUAAAAUGGAUUCGUCUGCCCAAGGAUGGGUCUGCGGCCUAUCAGGUAGUAGUGGGUGUAAUGUACCUACUAGCCUACGACGGGUACGGGUUGUGAGAGCAAGAGCCCGGAGAUGGAUUCUGAGACAUGAAUCCAGGCCCUACGGGGCGCAGCAGGCGCGAAAACUUUACAAUGCGGGAAACCGUGAUAAGGGGACACCGAGUGCCAGCAUCCUAUGCUGGCUGUCCAGGUGUGCAAAAUACACCUGUUAGCAAGGGCCGGGCAAGACCGGUGCCAGCCGCCGCGGUAACACCGGCGGCCCGAGUGGUGAUCGUGAUUAUUGGGUCUAAAGGGUCCGUAGCCGGUUUGGUCAGUCCUCCGGGAAAUCUGACAGCUUAACUGUUAGGCUUUCGGAGGAUACUGCCAGACUUGGAACCGGGAGAGGUAAGAGGUACUACAGGGGUAGGAGUGAAAUCUUGUAAUCCCUGUGGGACCACCUGUGGCGAAGGCGUCUUACCAGAACGGGUUCGACGGUGAGGGACGAAAGCUGGGGGCACGAACCGGAUUAGAUACCCGGGUAGUCCCAGCCGUAAACGAUGCUCGCUAGGUGUCAGGCAUGGCGCGACCGUGU
Molecule: ribosomal RNA, 721 nt
Filed under: uncultured archaeon
Lineage: Archaea
Description: bacterial SSU rRNA
Rfam family: Archaeal small subunit ribosomal RNA
Source: RNAcentral